This is a long non-coding RNA of Esox lucius (northern pike), 2258 nucleotides long. Lineage: Eukaryota; Metazoa; Chordata; Actinopteri; Esociformes; Esocidae. The record is from Ensembl.
GGGACACAAUACAGUAGAUUGAGGCACAUCUGAACAACACAAACAAUAACAAAUAAAAGAAAGACUGCAGAUAAAAAUGUGCCUCUGAAUCACAGAGUAACAAGGCUACUAAAGUUAGUGUCAGGCAGACAUGCAAUAUCUACAGUUCCAUUGUAUUAAAUAUGAAGCCUGUGCAGCCAGCUAGUUUGCAUAGUACUCAUUACGCAACAUUUAAUAACAAAGAACCCUAAAUACUGAAGAAUAUGUUUGCCCACAGAGCAUGGGUAAAUACAUAUGCUAUUUUUGUUGUGUGAUCAAGCUAAUAAACACCAAUUAUAUUUUUCACAGCUUGUUCUGUAUUUACAUAGUGUGCCAAUUGUUGUAAAGGGUGCUGUCCUGGAUGCAAUCACACAAUCCAUUCCUUUAAAUUACACACAUCUUGCUGAUAGUAGUCUUACCACCACAGUUCCAUUUUCCUCACUUCAUUAAAAGAAAACCGGCGUCAUUAUCUAUUAACUAUGGACCAUUUGGUCUUCCAUGUUAUCGCCAGGCUAGACAUUUUUUGACCAAAUGAGGAUCCAGGGGUCAUCAGUGGUCUCCUGACCGAAGAGAGAUGCCAACAAGCAGGCACCACCAACAAAGACGUAGGACUACCAUUCAAUGCUCAGGCCCCAGUAGCUCUGAGCAUCGACUCACAUUUUACCACUGUGACUGCGGCAGAUCCCGAGCCCAAGCCCACCAAAGAUUACGCUGGAGGCCACUUGGAAGUAAGUUAGAAAGCUACCUAACAUUAAAAUAAAUGAAGUGCCUACUCACUGCAAAUCCAUGCAUCCAAGCCCAAAUUAAAUGUUUUAUGUAGGUUAUUACACAAAGAUUAGGCAAUGUUAGCAUCAACCUCUGAGCUCUGGCAUGUUAAAGUUGUAAAUAUGAUGUUAUGCUAUCUAGCUCAGUGUGUUACAGUACUGUAUUACUUGGCUAGGCUAGCCCUUUCUACUAUUGAGGCUGUGGUACAUUUACAAAAAUGUUGCCCUUUUUCAGCCAACAUUGCAUUACAUUUAGUAACUUUUUAUGUUUGGUUAAUUUGAUUUUGUAGAAAAAUAGGCGAAAUGGAGGGCGCCAUCAAAGACAUUAGAGAAUCCAUCAACAAGAUAAAAUCGAAGAUGCAUGUCAAUAAAUGGAAGCAUGCAACUGCCGCUGGAGCUGUGCAUCGGUAAGGCAAGUCGUCAGAAACCUUGGAGAGCUCCAGUGGAGAGUGGGUCCAGGUGACUGGUACUGGGUGAUAACCGAGGGAAAGGAUCCCAUGUCCAGCCAAACCAGAGUGAGAGGGAGAACUAAAGAACCACCAAGCCAACCUUCCCACAAGAGGUAUUUGUCUGUGGGAGACGAAAUUGAGACAUAGACCCAAUAUUAAUGGAUAAUUCGUUUUGAAAUGAAUGAGUUUGUCAGGAUGGUUGAAUGUUUUCAGACAAUUAUAGUUUAUGUUUACAAGUGUAAGUCUAAUGUUGAUAUUUCCUUUGCUGUUCAAAUAAAUAAAUAUCGAACCAAUGAUCACAGUCAACCGUUUUUUUCAUUCAAAGAUCACUUCAGGUGCAUGCAUAUGGUUAUUUUUUGUGGAUUGUUUUAUUAAUCUCAAUUAAUUAAAUGUUUUAUUCCCUCGUUCAAAUUAUAGUCAAUUAUUAUGUAGGCUAUGGACAAGACAUGACAUAUGCUAUUUCCUUAGCAGCAUACUCUCCAAAUAUAAUACAUUCCUUUAAUAUUAGUUAUAGGGAAACCUGAUUCUUCAAGUAGAUGACAUGAUCCGAAUCCGGUCAUAGGCUGUAAAUUUUCCUAAUGUCAUACCGUACAUGCAUUGGGUAUAUCUUAUCCCCAGAUAGAGUGGAAGAAGAAUGUUUUUUUACCUUCCGAAUUCAAGAUUUUACUGUACAUUAGGGACAUUUUAGCCCAUAUCGACAAGAGUGCUUAAUAUGAAAAUACAGAUUCUGAAAUGUGCCAUGAUAAGAAAUCAAUAACAGUCAUGUUAAAUCCAUAUUUUGUGGUCUCUUUUUUCAAAUUUGGGAAUGUGAAACAUUUUAUAUGUACAAAUUUUCAGGGUUUUGGGGAUUAGAUAUUCAAUGAAUAGGAUGGCAGGUUCACGUGCUUGAGGUAGUCUGAUAUGUCCAGGAGUAAUCACCGUGUCAAGGGAACAUAAUGAUUCAGAAUUUCAUACAAGCUUAUGUGGUGCCAAAAAGGAUUUCGGAUUUUCUCAUGACAUGAAGUAAAUGACAGUUGUGGUUGGAGCU